GGGGAUGUAGCUCAGUGGGAGAGCGCUUGCUUUGCAUGUAAGAGGCCCUGGGUUCAAUCCCCAGCAUCUCCA
Molecule: transfer RNA, 72 nt
Organism: Patagioenas fasciata monilis
Lineage: Eukaryota; Metazoa; Chordata; Aves; Columbiformes; Columbidae
Rfam family: tRNA
About the family: Transfer RNA (tRNA) molecules are approximately 80 nucleotides in length. Their secondary structure includes four short double-helical elements and three loops (D, anti-codon, and T loops). Further hydrogen bonds mediate the characteristic L-shaped molecular structure. tRNAs have two regions of fundamental functional importance: the anti-codon, which is responsible for specific mRNA codon recognition, and the 3' end, to which the tRNAs corresponding amino acid is attached (by aminoacyl-tRNA synthetases). tRNAs cope with the degeneracy of the genetic code in two manners: having more than one tRNA (with a specific anti-codon) for a particular amino acid; and 'wobble' base-pairing, i.e. permitting non-standard base-pairing at the 3rd anti-codon position.
Source: Rfam